UACGGAGGGUGCAAACGUUGCUCGGAAUCAUUGGGCGUAAAGCGCACGUAGGCGGUCCACUAAGUUGGAUGUGAAAGCCCCGGGCUCAACCCGGGAAGUGCAUACAAAACUGGUGGACUUGAAUAUGGAAGAGGGUCGCGGAAUUCCCGGUGUAGAGGUGAAAUUCGUAGAUAUCGGUAGGAACACCAGUGGCGAAGGCGGCGACCUGGGCCAAUAUUGACGCUGAGGUGCGAAAGCGUGGGGAGCAAACAGG
This 253-nucleotide ribosomal RNA is filed under the name uncultured bacterium. RNAcentral describes it as "partial 16S ribosomal RNA". It matches the Rfam family "Bacterial small subunit ribosomal RNA", at positions 524 to 776 of the family's 1533-position model. The record is from RNAcentral.